GCAGAGUAGAUAAACAGGCGUAAAGUGUUCGGCAAACGGGGAGUUGUUGCUGGAACGAAAAAUCGUAGGAUUUGCGGUCUGUUUGUCGCAUCCCGCUGU
RNAcentral lists this non-coding RNA (99 nucleotides) under uncultured Negativibacillus sp. RNAcentral describes it as "THF riboswitch". It matches the Rfam family "THF (Tetrahydrofolate) riboswitch aptamer". From Rfam's summary of the family: THF riboswitch presents a pseudoknot that joins P1-P2 and the loop of P3 and two THF binding. The record is from RNAcentral. Lineage: Bacteria; Bacillati; Bacillota.